Long non-coding RNA from Rattus norvegicus (Norway rat), 1379 nucleotides. RefSeq lists it as uncharacterized. The record is from RefSeq and is a predicted model, not a curated record. NCBI's taxonomy places the organism in Eukaryota, Metazoa, Chordata, Mammalia, Rodentia, Muridae.
CAUCUGUUUCCAUUGCUCCAACAGCAGAUCAGCCUGUGUGCCUUCUAAACAGACUUACAGGCGGCAAGAGCCUUCUGCUGGACUCCCCAGUGCAAGCCCCACCCUGAGCUUGCUGCUUUUGUCCAAUAGCAAGACCAGCCAGUAAGUAACAAGUGUAUCCCUUCGGGUCAGGCACCAGCCAGCAAAUAACAAGUGUAUCCCUUCUCGCCAGGCUACACACAUUCCAGGGUUUUGUUUCAAUUCCUCGAAUCUGUCUUUGGCGUCCGCAACUGUGCAGAUUCUAUUGGUCGGGGCCCAGCUAUGCUGGUCCUAUUCCGGUUGCCUCUCACUGCUGUCCUGACCCACUGCAGCCCCAGCAUCUCCUACUUCAUUGUUUCAACACCUGCUGUCUACUGAGCGUGCCGGCCCGCCGCUGGCUAUGGUAAGAUGCAUCCGCCAUUAUGUCAGAGUCGAGAUUGGCCUCCUACGCAACCUGAUCCAAUAGCGUUCAAGAAACAAAGACAAGAAGGUGGCCGGUGAAAAUGACCUUGUCCAACUUCAAUUAGAACGCCUUCAAACUGAGCUCAAAUGCUGUCUGAGCUGUCAGUUGGGAUUCUUAGAUUCUGGCCUGGAGCUGUCUCCCUCUGGAAUCCCUUUUGUUUGCCUUGUUCGGCUAACUCGACUGGAUUAGAUACUGGUCUAAGCAAAUUUCCUUUUAAGGAUUGUAUGGACAGGACUCAAGGCAGAGCUGUGGCCCAGGAUUACAGGAAGGUGCAUUCACCCACGUGCUCACCACUGUAGGGCUCCAACUAGGAAGGUUAAGAACACUUACUGCUCUUCCAGAGGACUUGAGUUCACUUUCCAGUACCCGCAAUAUGGCUUGCAACUGUCCCUAAUAGCAGUUAGCUCCAAGGGACACCUCUGGCCUCCAACUUCCACAGGCCUGUACUCAUGACCCCACACAUGCAAAUUAAACAAUAAAGGUAUGUCCAUUCUUAACUGAAUAGGGCUGGGGAUGUAGCUCAGUUGGUAAAAUGUUUCUCCACCAUGAAUGAAACACGGGGCUCAACCUCUAGCAUCACAUAACAACUUGAGUUACAAGCAGGAGGAUCAGGAGUUCAAGGUCAUCCUCGGAUGCUCGGCAAGUUUAAAGCCAGUCUGGACAAUGUGAGAUUCUGCCUCCACAAUAAAAAAAAAAAGUCUGUUUUCCAGACAUGUGUUUUCCCGUGUUGCCGUGGCUGUAUUGGAACUCACUCUGUGGACCAGGCUGGCCUCGAACUCACAGAGAUCCACCUGCCUCUGCCUCCUGAGUGCUGGGAUUAAAGGCUUGCUCUCCCCAGCCCCCACCCCAACACGGUAAUUUCUUUUUUAAUUACAGACAUAUGUGCCCUAAGACUGAG